CAGGAAACUUGGCUCUACUCACUGCA
This 26-nucleotide non-coding RNA is filed under the name Homo sapiens (human). Lineage: Eukaryota; Metazoa; Chordata; Mammalia; Primates; Hominidae. The record is from RNAcentral.